Molecule: ribosomal RNA, 408 nt
Filed under: uncultured bacterium
Lineage: Bacteria
Description: bacterial SSU rRNA
Rfam family: Bacterial small subunit ribosomal RNA
Source: RNAcentral
AUUAGGAAUCUUGCACAAUGGGCGAAAGCCUGAUGCAGCGACGCCGCGUGGAGGAUGACGGCCUUCGGGUUGUAAACUCCUUUUGUUGGGGAAGAACACAAUGACGGUACCCAACGAAUAAGCUCCGGCUAACUCCGUGCCAGCAGCCGCGGUAAUACGGAGGGAGCGAGCGUUGUCCGAAGUUACUGGGCAUAAAGCGCGCGUAGGCGGGAAAUUAAGUGAGAAGUGAAAGGCUGGGGCUUAACCCCAUGCAGUGCUCCUCAUACUGGUUUUCUUGAGGGUGGUAGAGAGAAGUGGAAUGGCUGGUGUAGCGGUGAAAUGCGUAGAUAUCAGUCGGAACACCAGUGGCGAAGGCGGCUUCGUGGGCCAUUACUGACGCUGAGGCGCGAAAGCCAGGGGAGCGAACGG